UCAUUUUUAAUAAUAAAAUGUAUUCCCUGCCCUAUGUGUGAAAUAAAUGGCCGCAGUAUAGAUGACUGUGUUAAGGUAGCAUAAUUACUUGUCAAUUCAUUAUUGACUUGUCUGAAUGGGUUUAUUUAACUAAUAAUUUUUUUAUCAUUUUGAUUGAAAUUUUAAUUUUAGUAAAAAUACUGAAAUAAAAAAUAAGACGAGAAGACCCCAUCAAGGUUUACAAAUUUAUUGUUUUAAUGGGGAAUUAGAAAAGUUGGUCUUUAUUUUUUUGAAUACAAGUUAGAAAAAGGAAAAACUUACUGUGGGGAUAACAGGGUUAUUUUUUUUGGAGUUUUUAUCGAAGAAAUUGUUUGCUACCUCGAUGUUGAAUCAAAAUUUCUUUUUGGUGUAGAGACUAAAAUAGUGUGUCUGUUCGACAUUUAAAAUUUUACG
RNAcentral lists this ribosomal RNA (432 nucleotides) under Geocentrophora marcusi. Its description in RNAcentral is "partial 16S ribosomal RNA". It matches the Rfam family "Bacterial large subunit ribosomal RNA", at positions 1833 to 2600 of the family's 2925-position model. Lineage: Eukaryota; Metazoa; Platyhelminthes; Prorhynchida; Prorhynchidae. The record is from RNAcentral.